This 77-nucleotide transfer RNA is filed under the name Thiotrichaceae bacterium. RNAcentral's name for it is "tRNA-Asn". It matches the Rfam family "tRNA". Rfam says of the family: Transfer RNA (tRNA) molecules are approximately 80 nucleotides in length. Their secondary structure includes four short double-helical elements and three loops (D, anti-codon, and T loops). Further hydrogen bonds mediate the characteristic L-shaped molecular structure. tRNAs have two regions of fundamental functional importance: the anti-codon, which is responsible for specific mRNA codon recognition, and the 3' end, to which the tRNAs corresponding amino acid is attached (by aminoacyl-tRNA synthetases). tRNAs cope with the degeneracy of the genetic code in two manners: having more than one tRNA (with a specific anti-codon) for a particular amino acid; and 'wobble' base-pairing, i.e. permitting non-standard base-pairing at the 3rd anti-codon position. The record is from RNAcentral. Lineage: Bacteria; Pseudomonadati; Pseudomonadota; Gammaproteobacteria; Thiotrichales; Thiotrichaceae.
UCCUCGGUAGCUCAGCUGGUAGUAGCAAUGGCCUGUUAAGUCAUAUGUCGUCGGUUCGAGUCCGACCCGGGGAGCCA